CCCUUAGAUGUUCUGGGCCGCACGCGCGCUACACUGAUGCAUUCAACGAGUCUAAAACCUGCUCUGAUAGGGGUGGGUAAUCUUUUGAAUGUGCAUCGUGAUUGGGAUAGAUGAUUGCAAUUUUUCAUCUUCAACGAGGAAUGCCUGGUAAACGCAAGUCAUCAGCUUGCAUUGAUUACGUCCCUGCCCUUUGUACACACCGCCCGUCGCUCCUACCGAUUGAAUGAUCCGAUGAAUAUCAUGGAUUGAGGAUGCAAGCAGGUUCGCCUGUCUUCAUCUUCGAGAAGUGAAGUAAAUCUUAUCAUUUAGAGGAAGGGGAAGUCGUAACA
RNAcentral lists this ribosomal RNA (329 nucleotides) under uncultured eukaryote. RNAcentral's name for it is "partial 18S ribosomal RNA". It matches the Rfam family "Eukaryotic small subunit ribosomal RNA", at positions 1470 to 1796 of the family's 1831-position model. The record is from RNAcentral.